CUUGUACUCCCUCCGUCCGAAAAUACUUGUCAUUGAAAUGGAUGUAUCUAGAUGUAUUUUAGUUCUAGACACAUCCAUUUUGAUGACAAGUAAUUCCGGACGGAAGGAGUACUUG
Molecule: non-coding RNA, 115 nt
Organism: Triticum aestivum (bread wheat)
Lineage: Eukaryota; Viridiplantae; Streptophyta; Magnoliopsida; Poales; Poaceae
Source: Rfam